This 24-nucleotide non-coding RNA is filed under the name Arabidopsis thaliana (thale cress). Lineage: Eukaryota; Viridiplantae; Streptophyta; Magnoliopsida; Brassicales; Brassicaceae. The record is from RNAcentral.
AGCCCAAAAAGUCUCACAUUGUGA